GGGAGUUCUGCAGAGACCGGAUGGCACUUGAGGGUGACAGUUUCCCUGCUGAUAGAAUGUGUGCUUGUAGUUUGCUUAAAAUUUUUCGGCUCUAUGUAGUGGCACAUGCCUUUUAUCCCAGCACUUGUAAGGCAGAAGCAAGCAGAUCUCUGUAUUCGAGGUAGCCUAGAUUGCAGAGUGAGUUCCAGGACAGCCAGGGUUACACAGAGACCCUGUCUCCAAAAACAAAAAUAAAACAAAACAAGAAAUUAAAAAACAAAAACAAAAACAAAAAACAAAAAUAAAUUCUGGAUUGAAUGAAUUCUGGAAUGUAGGCUCCGAGGUUAAGAACACACACUGCUGUUAUUAAGGACCGGAUUUGGCAGCUUGUUAGCAUCUGUAAUUCUCCUCUGGGGGACCUGGCUCAUUUUCAGGGAUACCUGCACUCAGGUGCACAUCCCCACCCUACAUAUUCCUUUUUUUGUUUUAAGUUUAAAGAAGUAACUUCGGCAUUUAGUUCACUGCUCUUGCAGGGGACCUGAGUUCAGUUUCCACAUUGGGACACAGAGACCUGUAACUCAAGCCGCAGGGAUCCAGCGCCCUCUCCUGGCCGUUGUAGGCACUGUACUCGUGGGCACCUGCAUUGAGAGCACAUUCUCCUGGAUACAUAAUUAUUAAGUCUUUAGGACCCUUGGAGGCCCCCAGAAACUGAGCCACCAACAGAAGAGCAUUCAUGGGCUGGACCUAUGCCCCCCACACAGAUGUAGCAGAAGUGCAACUUGGUCUUCAUGUGGGUCCCCCAACAAUUGGAGCAACUGGACCCCUGACUCUGUUGCCUGCCUGUAGAUCCUGCUCCCCUAACUGGGCUGUCUUGUCUGACCUCAGUGGGUGUGGAUGUGCCUAGUCCUGCAGUGACUUGAGAUUGCCCGGGUGGGUUGGUUCCUGGGAGGGACCUCCCCCUUCUCAGCGGUGAAGAGGGAGGGGCCAUUUGAGGGGGCACUGGCAGGACCGGUGGAACCGUGAUAGGGAUGUAAAAUGAAUAAAUAAGUUAAUG
This 1033-nucleotide long non-coding RNA is filed under the name Mus musculus (house mouse). Its description in RNAcentral is "long non-coding RNA chr17:83732427-83733460". The record is from RNAcentral. Lineage: Eukaryota; Metazoa; Chordata; Mammalia; Rodentia; Muridae.